RNAcentral lists this long non-coding RNA (203 nucleotides) under Lathyrus oleraceus (garden pea). RNAcentral's name for it is "Pisum sativum (pea) long non-coding RNA (PSAT_LNC012370)". Lineage: Eukaryota; Viridiplantae; Streptophyta; Magnoliopsida; Fabales; Fabaceae. The record is from RNAcentral.
UAUCUUUGUUACUAAGUAUUUUCCUUCUUUGACUUUCAUUUGUAUUUUUUGCUCCCCUUAAUUGAUUAUAUGCAGUAAUACUUGUUGCUCCUAGUUACUAACUUAGAAACAUUGAAUACCGACUAACAGGCGAAUUUAUAACUAGUUAGUUACUAACUUUCAUCAUGCAACCAGUAGACACAGUUUUCAGAGGAAGAGUUCAG